UCUAAAAUUAGAAAUUUAUAACCAAUUGAAAACUUAUUUCUUAGCAUGAUCAGUGGCCACUUACUAAGAUUUUCGAUAUAGCCUAGUUGUUCCCCUCUGCACCUAAAUGAUAUCAGUAAGGAGCAGAGUGGACUACAUUCUGCAGUGACCAGGAGGCUAAGUUGAGAGUCAUGAGGGAACUGCUUGUUCCAGGCUGCUGCUGGGACAAUUUGCAUGGGAUUCCAAAUGUUUCAUUGAGAAGCACAUAGCAAAACCCCCCAACUGCAUAUUUGGAUCCCAGGCUCUGCAAUGUGAUCUGCCAGUUCAGAAUCCUGCGCCGUUCCAGAGUCCUGUCCCACAAGGGACUCUGCAGGGGCCCAGACUAGACAUUGCAAGGUAGAUGAGUUAGCUGAUAUGUCUUUGUGAACACACAACCUUUGAUUUGUAAUCACAAAUACAGCUGCCCUGCUAACCCAGCCUUCCAGAAACCUUUCCAACCAAACAGCAGCACCAGCAAAGGGGUGGUGUUAUUUUCCCCUAUUUCAUUCACCUAAGAUGUGAAUUUCAGAACUUUGCUUAUACCAUGCUCAAUAAUGUUCACAUUUACAGGCAAUUUCUUCUUCCUUCCAACCGCGAGCAGUAGGCAAAGAGAAGAUUGUUAGGAAAGGAAAUUGUUAAUAGCCAGCUUUUCCCCUAGCAAAUGAAAAAGUAAGAUACAGCAAUACCAUUCAUGAAAUCGUAUUCUAUUCAGGACAAGCGAGAGACACUUGUUUGUGAAGAAAAUGCAAAAAUGUUUUCCCUAAAUUUCCCCUAUAAUUUUCAUACAUAUUUUUUAAAAUUUUCAAACUUUAUCCCAUCCCUAAUUAACCUACACAGGGCCAAGCUAAGUCUAUUCAACACUAGUGUCACCAAACAUUACAGAUGUUUUCCAAAAUCUUUUAUUUCAAAAUAUUCCAUUUAUAAUUUAAACUGAUCAACACUGAAUAGCAGCAAAUUUCCCUAUCAGCAAAUCUGUUAGGUUCUUUUUAGUUCUAUCUUGAUUAAAUUAGAGUUGCUAAAUGAGAAGGUAAAGACUAGAAUGACACAAUCCUUUCCAGUCCUCACAUUUCUAAUUAAAAUCCUCUUGGACACUAUACCUCUAGAACUAACUCUGUAUUGCUGAAAAUAUUGAUAAACUCUUAACUGAUUUUUACUGGUGUAAUACUCCUCCACUAUUGUAUUUUAAAAUCUAGUUUACAGUAGCGUUUUACAACAAUAAACUUCUAUAGAAUGUGCAGUUAAAUAUAAUCUCAAUAAUAAUUAAUAAUACCUAGCUCUUGUAUAGCAUCUUUUAUCCAUAGAUAUCAAUUAAGUUGGGUCAGUUUAAAUUCAUCUAGACAAGUUGACUUUGUUAAAGACUUACCGACUGAAAUCAAGGCAAAGACAAAAAUCAGUGAAAUCAUUCUGUACGCUUCACCACGAUUCUGUGUUCACGCAACGGUACUGGACUUUCUUCUCAUCCUGCUACUUAUGAAUACUAGUGAAGGCCACCCUGGCUUCCAAGCCAAUCCAAAUUCAUAUACUUUCAAUUCAGUGUAAAGGAGGCAGUCUUAUUAUGUGAGCUAAUCUGGAGACAAUAAUGCCAUCCCAGUGUGUAUUGCUCCAAUACAAAACAUAUGAGCACAUGGGGAUUUCUACCUGAGAGAGAUCCAAAACCAGGAUUUUUUCCUAAUUCUCAACAAACUUAUGCACAAUAAACAAUUUAGCUAUGUUUGAAUAUAAAAUAUUGCUGUGCCACAGAUGACUUUAGGUGAAUGGGCCUUUGAAAGCUUGUUUCUGUUGUUUCUUAGAAAUUGAUAUGUCAGUGAAGAGUUCACUGGAAACCUGGAUUAGCAGGUAUGACGCUACCCCUGUCACAGGCCCUUGACUAAAUCCUGCUUUCUUUACUGAGGGGGAAAACAGAGUUCAGUGGGAAUAAUUGCUGAAAGUUAUCACCAUUACCUGAAGCUGAGGAGGACACAUACUGAGGUGAUCUACCUGACCAGCUAUCCUCAUUUCACCAUCUCCCAUUGUAUUUCAUCUGUUUGUCUCUCCUUUCUGGCAAUGUUGUGUGCACAAUACUCCAGAUGUGGUCACAUCAGAUUCAGGGCGCAAGAGGAAUUAUUCAAAGGGGAAGAUUCCAAACAUCCAUUAUUUUCUCAUUAUUUAUUAUUGUUCCCUGCUAGUCACCCUCAUUCAUUAAAAGAUGGAAAGCUAAUGUGGACUAAAUAUUUUUUGUGUGUGCUCAAUGACAUGUAAAUGUAAUGAGUUGUAUCGAAUAGGCGUAGAAGUUACCAUUCAUAGUCUAAUUUUAAGAAGUUGCUUCCAAACUUUUGUUGAUUCAUUGGCCUAUUCUGUUGUUGGUGAACUUCACCCCUGUGCAGCGAGCCAGCACAAAGCCCAUGUACCACUUAAGUCUCACUUAAGCCGUAUUUUGUUCCGGCCCAUCUGCAAGGGGUGAAGUUCACCAACAACAGAAUGCCUGUGUUAGUGCAUCUGUUCUUUUCUCUUUUAUACAGAAAUGAUGACUUCCAAUUUAAAAAAAAAAUUGUAGAAAACCCCACAAACAAACCAACACACAAAGCCAGGAUGAACCUCCUGCUUAAAGGCUUAGAAAAUCUCCAGCCUUUUGAUACAGUCACUUGGGGCGCUAUUGGCAGCUUACAGUCCAGACCACAUUGGGGUGGCAUUGCCCCAGGAGCAGAGAUGGGACUAAUUCUGAGUUAGAUUUGAAGUUCAGUCCCUGCUUCCUCCUUAUUCCACGAAGGAUGUGAAAUGUGUUGUAAGCCUUUUCCCGAGCACAGCUUAAUUCCCCUUUAUGCCAGCUCAGCUGGGGAAGGAGAGUGAAUAUACAGCCAAGAUUCCAUCCACUCCCACCAACCUACACA
Molecule: long non-coding RNA, 2885 nt
Organism: Dermochelys coriacea (leatherback sea turtle)
Lineage: Eukaryota; Metazoa; Chordata; Testudines; Dermochelyidae
Exons: 3
Source: RefSeq, a predicted model, not a curated record